ACAAUAACGAAGCGGGCACAGCGUCACUGGUGCACGAGCUGGACGAACCCCUCACCCUGCGCACGACCACACGGUGGUGCCUGCAUUCUAUUCAACGUACAUGUGAAGGGGUAUGCGGAAAGACGGAAGAGAGGACAAUGUUUCUUUUCCCAAGCGUGCCUGCUCUCUGCUGCAGAGCAUGGGGCCCAACAGAACUCGGCCCGGGCCCGUCGCCAGCUCGUUUGCGUGAUGCCAAGCAGCCGCACACACGUGCUACCGCAACGGCGACGCAGUCGUCGCAGCGCCACACCUGCAUCGAGCUCUAUCCACCUCCGCUGAGCAGGCCGCCGCACGGCCGCUCGCCCAUCAUGCCUGUCCCCACCUGGUGCAGCCCCCUCGGGGCAACCCUCAGGCUCCCCCCGCACCAGCAGGCAGGGCGAGGGCCGGGGAUGAUGCACGCUCCAGUCCCGCUGACACUCUGCCCACCGCAUGGAUGGCGCACGCGUGCUCACGGUCGCAGGUCGCUCCGACGCAACGCCAUUCGGAGCCUGGCUACCGACGUCAGCAGCGAUGCAUCGCUCUGAUAUCUACGUCACAGGCACCAGGCACUGGCACCAUCCGAAGUGGCGCGGCAUUUGGCAGGGGUAGGGAGGGGCUGCCUGACUUUCCCAGGCAGAGAGAGUGGCAGAGGGAAGGGGAGGGGCAGUGGGCCCUGCUAUGCCGCCCAUUGAAGGAGUGGGUGCCCUCCCUCCCCCGCGCCUCCUGGCCCUUCGUGGAGGGAAGAGCAGGAGAGAAAGGACAAAAAGGAACGAAAAGUCGCCAAUCGUAGGGAAAGCUGGGGCGGGGCGGGGGGCGAACGCCGGCCUGCCUGCGCGUCUCUCACGUACUUUUUUGUUGCUUUCUUCCGUGUCCUCGGUAAUGUCUCUUUGACACAGGUGACGCAUCACUGCAGCUGCCCCCGGUGCAGCUCAUCCUUCCCUGCUCCUCCUCUCCGCGUCGACAUCAGCUGUCACUGAGACAUCCAAACAAACACAAAAUGAGCAGUGCAGUGGCGACGACUCAUGAGCUAGUGUGAGCCACGCGCAAACACGCGCGCUUGCGCAUAUGCACGCUGUUAGUGCACUGGGCUGUCAUCUUUUCACCUCUCUUCGCUUGGGCUCUCGGGUGCGCGUUGCUGCCGUCAGCACGCCAUGCUUCGCCUCGCCCCCUCCCCUACAGUGUCGUUGAACCGCUCUCUUAGCACGACCCCUUUUGGCAACACCUUAUGUGUUUUUCUUUGGAGGGAGCUGUUUCCGGCACUGCGCGGUCUUCCCGUGUUGUGUGCUUCGAAUCCGCGCGUUGAUUUCAGCGAGGAGCAGAAGGAGCUUCCAUGUUUUUUUUUUUUUCCUUCUCCAGCCCCCUUCACUUCCCACCCUCUUCCUCGCCUUGCCACGGUGCGAAG
RNAcentral lists this unclassified non-coding RNA (1420 nucleotides) under Leishmania donovani. RNAcentral describes it as "gene:unknown". The record is from RNAcentral. Lineage: Eukaryota; Euglenozoa; Kinetoplastea; Trypanosomatida; Trypanosomatidae.